GUAGGUGGCAAGCGUUGUCCGGAAUUAUUGGGCGUAAAGCGCGCGCAGGCGGGUUCUUUAAGUCUGAUGUGAAAGCCCACGGGCUCAACCGUGGAGGGUCAUUGGAAACUGGAGAACUUGAGUACAGAAGAGGAAAGCGGAAUUCCACGUGUAGCGGUGAAAUGCGUAGAGAUGUGGAGGAACACCAGUGGCGAAGGCGGCUUUCUGGUCUGUAACUGACGCUGAGGCGCGAAAGCGUGGGGAGCAAACAGGAUUAGAUACCCUGGUAGUCCACGCCGUAAACGAUGAGUGCUAAGUGUUAGGGGGUUUCCGCCCCUUAGUGCUGCAGCAACGCAUUAAGCACUCCGCCUGGGGAGUACGACCGCAAGGUUG
RNAcentral lists this ribosomal RNA (372 nucleotides) under uncultured organism. Its description in RNAcentral is "partial 16S ribosomal RNA". It matches the Rfam family "Bacterial small subunit ribosomal RNA", at positions 527 to 896 of the family's 1533-position model. The record is from RNAcentral.